GACGAACGCUGGCGGCGUGCUUAACACAUGCAAGUCGAACGGAAAGGCCCUGCUUUUGUGGGGUGCUCGAGUGGCGAACGGGUGAGUAACACGUGAGUAACCUGCCCUUGACUUUGUGAUAACUUCAGGAAACUGGGGCUAAUACCGGAUAGGAGCUCCUGCUGCAUGGUGGGGGUUGGAAAGUUUCGGCGGUUGUGGAUGGACUCGCGGCUUAUCAGCUUGUUGGUGGGGUAGUGGCUUACCAAGGCUUUGACGGGUAGCCGGCCUGAGAGGGUGACCGGCCACAUUGGGACUGAGAUACGGCCCAGACUCCUACGGGAGGCAGCAGUGGGGAAUAUUGCACAAUGGGCGGAAGCCUGAUGCAGCAACGCCGCGUGCGGGAUGACGGCCUUCGGGUUGUAAACCGCUUUCGCCUGUGACGAAGCGUGAGUGACGGUAAUGGGUAAAGAAGCACCGGCUAACUACGUG
Molecule: ribosomal RNA, 468 nt
Filed under: uncultured bacterium
Lineage: Bacteria
Description: partial 16S ribosomal RNA
Rfam family: Bacterial small subunit ribosomal RNA
Source: RNAcentral